Molecule: long non-coding RNA, 300 nt
Organism: Chionomys nivalis (European snow vole)
Lineage: Eukaryota; Metazoa; Chordata; Mammalia; Rodentia; Cricetidae
Exons: 4
Source: RefSeq, a predicted model, not a curated record
GAUCAGUGUUGCUGCGGCUUCAAGGAGAGAAAGGAAAGCUAGGAAAAAGGGAGCGCUUAUAAGCGUAGUGCACCCACAACAGACACGCCUUUCAGUUCACUGGUCGAUCGAUCGCUCAGUACCCCAUCCACCAGCAAUUACGGUGUCACUGUGCGAUCAAAUAUCCUACAACAUGAAGAUCUGAGCUCAGUUCCCAGCAAACACCUGCUUAAGAUGGUGCUUGCCCCCAACUCUGAUGACCUGAGUUUGAUCUUUGGAACCCAUAUGAUGGAGAGAUAAAACCAACUCUUGCAGGUUGUA